This 500-nucleotide ribosomal RNA is filed under the name uncultured bacterium. Its description in RNAcentral is "partial 16S ribosomal RNA". It matches the Rfam family "Bacterial small subunit ribosomal RNA", at positions 29 to 523 of the family's 1533-position model. The record is from RNAcentral.
AUUGAACGCUGGCGGAAUGCUUUACACAUGCAAGUCGAACGGCAGCACGGGGGCAACCCUGGUGGCGAGUGGCGAACGGGUGAGUAAUACAUCGGAACGUGCCCAGUCGUGGGGGAUAACGUAGCGAAAGUUACGCUAAUACCGCAUACGAUCUACGGAUGAAAGCGGGGGACCGUAAGGCCUCGCGCGAUUGGAGCGGCCGAUGUCAGAUUAGGUAGUUGGUGAGGUAAAGGCUCACCAAGCCGACGAUCUGUAGCUGGUCUGAGAGGACGACCAGCCACACGGGGACUGAGACACGGCCCAGACUCCUACGGGAGGCAGCAGGGGGGAAUUUUGGACAAUGGGCGCAAGCCUGAUUCAGCCAUUCCGCGUGCGGGACGAAGGCCUUCGGGUUGUAAACUGCUUUUGUACGGAACGAAAAGGCUCUGGUUAAUACCUGGGGCUCAUGACGGUACCGUAAGAAUAAGCACCGGCUAACUACGUGCCAGCCGCCGCCGUAA